GUGUCUAGAAGCAGCAGUAAGGAGGAGGGACAAUGUCCACCUUUCUUCAUGGUGUCUAGGAAGAAAAUGAAUGAGUAACCUUCACUGAGAAGCCUUCAAGGAGGAGUUUUAUUUCUGGCUGUGAUUACUGGAGACCUGAAGGUGUUGAAGAUGAUUUAGUGAAGAAUAUGGGCCCAGGAAUCAAAUACACCCAGGCUGGCCAACUGGCUUUGUCACCUACUGACCAUGGGUACAGGUUUGUCUAAUUGUGGUCGCAGUGGACAAGCAGGACAAAGCAAUCAUUGUUUUUUCUGGUAGAAUAAGUCACCUAUGGCACUGGAAGACAAGAUACAAUAAAAACUGUAUUGAGCC
Long non-coding RNA from Mustela lutreola (European mink), 351 nucleotides. RefSeq lists it as uncharacterized. Lineage: Eukaryota; Metazoa; Chordata; Mammalia; Carnivora; Mustelidae. The record is from RefSeq and is a predicted model, not a curated record. The transcript has 3 exons.